This is a long non-coding RNA of Papaver somniferum (opium poppy), 2542 nucleotides long. RefSeq lists it as uncharacterized. The transcript is spliced from 5 exons. The record is from RefSeq and is a predicted model, not a curated record. Lineage: Eukaryota; Viridiplantae; Streptophyta; Magnoliopsida; Ranunculales; Papaveraceae.
GGGAUGGAAACCAUAUAUUCUAUGAGGGUGGGAACAAAUCUAACAAAUUUAAGACUCCUCAGCUAAUAUGGAAUACUUACCAUUGUUAUUAGGAUUCGAUGACGAUGAUUUUCGGUUUAAGAUUUAUGCCAAAAAAUUCUAACCUCUUUUCUUUAUCGCUUCUUCUUUUUUUCUUGAGCUUUUUGCGAAUAUAUAGUAACACUGAUGAAUCUAAUCCCAACUUCCGAUCUAAAGCAAGAUACAGGCUACGGAGCAAGGUUGUCAUGGAUAUAGAUAUGCGGUGGAAGUAAUAACGCGCUUAUCAUCGAUGGGGACGGUUCUUCCAGCCUUAGUUUAAAAUAUACGAAGUACGUUAUGAAUUGGGUGGUCAUAUGAGCGACGUCUUCCAAGAAUGAAUAUGUAUGUUAUCUUCUAACUUAAUGUCUCGGUUAGUAAAUGGAGUACAAUUAAGGAUGAUUUUGCGUAACUGAAAUUAUAGAAACCACCACCACAGCAUGAUUUUGUGUCUAACGACCUCUAACCGCACAGUCAUAACCGAACAUUAAAAACUUAUAAAAGUUGUUGUUGUAUCACGGGAUACUUCUAUUGUUUGCACUCCCACAUAUGGGGCUAAAAGUCAUCGUUAGGGUGAAUAAGCCAGCGAACAUGAGGCACUUAAGCUACAGUGGUCGAACGGCCGGAAUCACUACAGCAAACCCUCACAAGGUUAAUUCACGGUCUGGGGAGUUGCAUGGUAUCAAAUAUGGACUGUAGACACAAUUUUAAAAAAGGAGUUUUAAAUUUGAACCAUUGGAAGAAGAUCUGGAAUUUUAGUGUACUCACUGUUUAUUUUUUCAUUUUCCUGUCAAAUUGGUUCCACCUUAAUUAAGUAACUGACAUCAUCUUUGAAUUCAGUUACACUUCCGUUGUUCCGUAGGUAUUGCAGCCCCAUCAUGGCAUCACCACUGCAAUGGGUGCAACAUAACAUAACUGCAUUUAGUUAGUGUGCUUUUGUUUAAUAUUGUCGACAACAACACAGUGGUAUGGUUUGGCCUGGAAAUUUUCAUGUUGAUCAUCAUCAUUCCAACCAAGUGGAUCUCAAUAGUCAACCAUUAUCAUCAACUCGGCAAGAUUACAAAUAAAAUGCCUUUGUGCAUGACCAAGUGCUGGUAAGCUUAUAUUGUAAUUUCAAAUUUGCUAUAUGAUGACUUAAGGACCAUCAGUGUUUACUCACCAUAUAUCUUCAAUUCGGCCUUUCAUUUAGGUUACUCUUAUCUUCAAUUCGGCCUUUCAUUUAGGUUACUCUUAUUUUUGAUUUGUGUCUCUUCUCUGUUUCAAACUUCCUUAGGCUUCCACUGUAGGUGACAAAUUUGGUAAAGCCUAUAACAACUGUGAAGAACAUAGCGUUGUCAUUGAUAUUUUCUCUAGAUUUGUUAGCGAUGAGAAGCGAAUCAUACAACCUAUAUUUGAUGUUCUGGGUAUACGGUUCACACGGGAAGGCCGUGUUACUGUAGACCAGAGUAUCCUUCUGACACUGGGGUUCCCUGAGAUGUAUCAAAUAUAUGACCUUUGCUACUUGCAUGUGCAAGUAAAUAACACUUUAGAUUUACAUGCCGAUGAAAAUAUUUGUCUUCUUUCGUUGACUUGAAACCAACGGACCAUAGAGAAUAAUACUUUACAUGCAUAGAAUCAGUGAAUUGAUUUCUCUCUAAAUUUUGGAGGGGACAAGAUGACUUCCUUGGGUAUUAUUCAGGUACAAUAUCACUCUCAGUUCGUAAGCUUUUGUUUUCAAAGUAGAUUUUGUUUCUAUGAAGCUAGCAGUAUGUACUUGCCUAUAUUUGUCAUUUGUGUGUUUCUUGCCCACUGUGAUACAAAUAUAUACUAAAUAAUUAAGAAAGAGUCGUUAAGUAUUUUUUCGUCAAGUAUUAUAGAAUUGAUCGUUCCCACUACAUAUUAAUCCUGUAAUGCCAAUGAAUUUUCAUAGCCACUAAUUUAGGCUUCUUUUUUUUUCGACAUUUAUUACAUUUUCAAGUGGUUGGAAAUUGUCUAAUGUGGACAAAUUUAUUAAUUUUCAAGUGUUUGGAAACAGUUCAAGUGUUUGGAAACAUAUUUGUCUAAUGUGGACGGAUUGAUAUUCCACAGCACCCACCUCAAUACAGCACCAGUACCUACAUUAUUACAGAUGGGCGGCAAUGAAACUCUCUCUGUAUGGUGUUGGCAUGCAUGGUUUACAAUAGACAUGCAGAAGCUGUUAUUGUGCAGAUAUGCAGUUCUAGCAUGCACCAAAACAAGGGAAGAUUUGCCGAUUGCUUAGUAUCACUCCCAUGCACCAGGUCACUGAUGCCUUUCAAGGUCAAAAAGAAGGUAGUCGAAAAUUGCAUCUAUAGAAUUUCUUAGACUUUUGGUUCUACCAGUUAAAUAACCCUUUCUCACUUAGACCUCAAUUCUAUACAUGGUUCCUACAAUAAUGUUAUGUUGUUGUACAAUACUGAACAACGUAGUGAGCAUUUACCUCUAUUUGCAACGUAGUCGAAAAUUGCAUCUAUAGAAUUUCUUAGACUUU